ACCUUGGUGGAUCAAUUGGCAGAUCAUCCUUACCUAAUACAAUCGGAGCAAGCCGUACGUGGGAAGACGGAGGUUCGAAUCCUCCCGGAGGCA
Molecule: non-coding RNA, 93 nt
Organism: Mycena rebaudengoi
Lineage: Eukaryota; Fungi; Basidiomycota; Agaricomycetes; Agaricales; Mycenaceae
Source: the annotation of a GenBank genome assembly